Molecule: long non-coding RNA, 287 nt
Organism: Octopus sinensis (East Asian common octopus)
Lineage: Eukaryota; Metazoa; Mollusca; Cephalopoda; Octopoda; Octopodidae
Exons: 3
Source: RefSeq, a predicted model, not a curated record
AUGGCUUUGAACUGGUUGAUCACCGUUCCUAUUCUCUUGAUUUGGUCCCACCUGACUAUCAUCUGUUCCCCAACAUGAAAAGACACUUGGCUGGGAAUCAGUAUUGCAGUGAUGGUGACAUAUUGCAGUUGCUACUAGUUCCUUUUGAAGUCUUCUUUGAACAGUCAGAUGUCAGUUUACCUGGAAAGUAACAAAGUUAUUAAUAAGAAGAGGUGAAAUUAAUGCAAGCAAGAUUUAACAGCUCUAGCAUCACUCCUUCAUUGUCAACCUAUAAACUUUUCAGCCCA